UGGGGGAUAUUGCACAAUGGGCGAAAGCCUGAUGCAGCGACGCCGCGUGGGGGAUGAAGGCCUUCGGGUUGUAAACUUCUUUUGCUCUGAACAAGGCAUGCUAAUGGGUGUGUUGAGUGUAGGGGUUGAUUAGCGCCGGCUAACUACGUGCCAGCAGCCGUGGUAAUACGUAGGGCGCGAGCGUUGUCCGGAAUUAUUGGGCGUAAAGGGCUUGUAGGUGGCUGGUUGCGUCUGUCGUGAAAGCUCAUGGCUUAACUGUGGGUUUGCGGUGGGUACGGGCUGGCUUGAGUGCAGUAGGGGAGGCUGGAAUUCCUGGUGUAGCGGUGGAAUGCGCAGAUAUCAGGAGGAAUACCGGUGGCGAAGGCGGGUCUCUGGGCUGUUACUGACACUGAGGAGCGAAAGCAUGGGGAGCGAACAGG
This 419-nucleotide ribosomal RNA is filed under the name bacterium. Its description in RNAcentral is "partial 16S ribosomal RNA". It matches the Rfam family "Bacterial small subunit ribosomal RNA", at positions 355 to 776 of the family's 1533-position model. The record is from RNAcentral.